AGUGAACGCUGGCGGUAGGCCUAACACAUGCAAGUCGAACGGCAGCACAGUAAGAGCUUGCUCUUACGGGUGGCGAGUGGCGGACGGGUGAGGAAUACAUCGGAAUCUACUUUUUCGUGGGGGAUAACGUAGGGAAACUUACGCUAAUACCGCAUACGACCUACGGGUGAAAGCAGGGGAUCUUCGGACCUUGCGCGAUUGAAUGAGCCGAUGUCGGAUUAGCUAGUUGGCGGGGUAAAGGCCCGCCAAGGCGACGAUCCGUAGCUGGUCUGAGAGGAUGAUCAGCCACACUGGAACUGAGACACGGUCCAGACUCCUGCGGGAGGCAGCAGUGGGGAAUAUUGGACAAUGGGCGCAAGCCUGAUCCAGCCAUACCGCGUGGGUGAAGAAGGCCUUCGGGUUGUAAAGCCCUUUUGUUGGGAAAGAAAAGCAGCAGGUUAAUACCCCGCUGUUCUGACGGUACCCAAAGAAUAAGCGCCGGCUAACUUCGUG
Molecule: ribosomal RNA, 492 nt
Filed under: uncultured bacterium
Lineage: Bacteria
Description: partial 16S ribosomal RNA
Rfam family: Bacterial small subunit ribosomal RNA
Source: RNAcentral